UUGGCCGGAAGAACGAAAGAUACCGGCAAGCACAGAGCAGCCGUCAAAAGGGGUUCCGUAGAGUGGUCUAACCCCAGGGUAAUCCUUGGAGCUUUCUCCAUGCCCGACAAAGAGAACUUGGUGUGAAUCGGGGUAGCUAGCUACCAGCUCGUCUAACUAAUGUACUGAUGUAAUUCCAUGCAAAUAUGGCUACCCGGCGAACAUGAGGUCCCACUCACUAUUCAUGGCCAGACAAAAAGGGACCACUAGCCUAGAGAAUCAAAUAGGGAAUAGGCCCUGAGUUCACCCGCUUGCCCGAAGAUGAAGGGGAAGAAAGGGAUGCCAGGGACAGAGUAACCGGAGGGGGC
This 347-nucleotide long non-coding RNA is filed under the name Solanum tuberosum (potato). Its description in RNAcentral is "long non-coding RNA (STUB_LNC002989)". The record is from RNAcentral. Lineage: Eukaryota; Viridiplantae; Streptophyta; Magnoliopsida; Solanales; Solanaceae.